UUUUGGGGGUCUCAACCCCUUCAGAGCCGUAGCUAACGCGUUAAGUAUCCCGCCUGGGGAGUACGAUCGCAAGGUUGAAACUCAAAGGAAUUGACGGGUUCCCGCACAAGCGGUGGAGCAUGUGCUUUAAUUCGAGGCAACGCGAAGGACCUUACCUGGGCUUGACAUGGGAGCUCUCCCUUCGGGGGGGGUCAGCUAUGUGAAAGCAUGGUUAGUCCACACAGGUGUUGCAUGGCUGUCGUCAGCUCGUGUCGUGAGAUGUUCGGUUAAGUCCGGCAACGAGCGCAACCCUCGCUGUCAGUUACCAACGGAUAAUGCCGGGGACUCUGACAGGACUGCCGGUGAUAAACCGGAGGAAGGCGGGGAUGAUGUCAAGUCAUUAUGACCCUUACGCCCAGGGCUAGACACGUGCUACAAUGGUCGGUACAAUGAGCAGCGAGACCGCGAGGUGGAGCAAAUCUCAAAAAGCCGGCCCUAGUACGGAUUGCAGUCUGCAACUCGACUGCAUGAAGCUGGAAUCGCUAGUAAUCGCGUAUCAGCAUGACGCGGUGAAUACGUUCCCGGGAAUUGUACACACCGCCCGUCAAACCAUGGGAAUCGGUAGCACUCGAAGUCGCUGACCCAACUUUAUUGAGGGAGGCGCCGAAAGUGAGAUUGGUGACUGGGGUUAAGUCGUAACAAGGUAGCCG
RNAcentral lists this ribosomal RNA (689 nucleotides) under uncultured bacterium. RNAcentral describes it as "bacterial SSU rRNA". It matches the Rfam family "Bacterial small subunit ribosomal RNA", at positions 821 to 1502 of the family's 1533-position model. The record is from RNAcentral.